GAUAAAUCUUUCUGCAUAAAUACAAUUCCUAUUAUAGGCCCUUUGUCUUAGGACUAAAAAUUUUGAAAGAAAAUCCCUUAGCCUGUGAAAUUUUAUUUUCAAACUGUCCCAAUUUCUUAAUUUACUGUCAUGAUCAACAGAAAUCAGAAUGUGGACACAAGUCAUGUUUGACAAAAAAUUAAAGAACUUGAAUGGCAAUAAUUUAAAUCAAAGUUCUUUGAUGCCAAUGUCAACCAAGCAAUUCCAGUUAAGGACGGUCCUGAGAUUAUCGCUCAUAUUCAUAGAGACUUAAUUAAAAGGUGUUAGAAUAAGAAUGUACAAGUUGGGAUAUUUGCCAUGAUCCUAGCCUUAGUAUUUGUUAUGAUUGUAUUGUAAUUAGGAUGCAAUUAGCCUAGAAUCUGUAUUCUUCCUUUUAGUAUAUCUUCCUAUAUUGGAAGACUUGUAACUGUAUAUAAAUACCCAUUGAGCGUGAGGGAAUAAUCAAGCCAUUAUUCCACAAAAUUCUCCUCCUUUUUCCUAUUUUCAUAUGGCAUCAGAGCCUAGGGUUUGAAGUCCCAGCUCAGUGUUUUUUUCUUUCUCCAAUUAUUUCUGUUUCACAGUACAUCUCAGACCAGAGAAAUUUCUUCUCCUUAUCACCCUUGGCAUCGAGCUCCACAUCUCACCGCCCUCUCCAAAAGGUGUGCCAAAUGCUGGUGAGCCUCGCCCUAGAAGACCCAAUGCCGGAGUAGUAGGCGUGUCUCCCCAUGUACAGUUUUUAUUCCUCUGCCCUAAGCUCACAAGCCAACACGUGACACCAUCCCAGGCCACCCUUCUCGCUGGCAUCUCUUCUACCAGGGAUAAUUGCAAUCUCAAGUUUCUCCUAUUCUACAUGUAAAAGGAAAACUCUAGCAUAUAUCAGAACUUGUAUCCUAUUCCUUCCUAGGGACAAACUGCAAGAAGCUUCAUGGGCAUAGGCACAAUGCCAAACUACAUAAAAUUUCUUGUGUCUAUUUUAUUUUCUCCUCUCUUUCUGCAUUUUAAUUCAAUCCAACUGUGCAUUAUGUGGUUUAUUUUCAAUGGAGGGUGUUUCUACCAAGUUCACAUAAAAAUACUACAAACCCACUACAAAAUAAAGAAUCAAUGUAAAGAGUAUAAAUUCAAA
RNAcentral lists this unclassified non-coding RNA (1141 nucleotides) under Hevea brasiliensis (rubber tree). Lineage: Eukaryota; Viridiplantae; Streptophyta; Magnoliopsida; Malpighiales; Euphorbiaceae. The record is from RNAcentral.